Molecule: ribosomal RNA, 574 nt
Filed under: uncultured bacterium
Lineage: Bacteria
Description: partial 16S ribosomal RNA
Rfam family: Bacterial small subunit ribosomal RNA
Source: RNAcentral
UGGGGAAUUUUGGACAAUGGGCGAAAGCCUGAUCCAGCAAUGCCGCGUGUGUGAAGAAGGCCUUCGGGUUGUAAAGCACUUUUGUCCGGAAAGAAAUCCUUGGCUCUAAUACAGUCGGGGGAUGACGGUACCGGAAGAAUAAGCACCGGCUAACUACGUGCCAGCAGCCGCGGUAAUACGUAGGGUGCAAGCGUUAAUCGGAAUUACUGGGCGUAAAGCGUGCGCAGGCGGUUUGCUAAGACCGAUGUGAAAUCCCCGGGCUCAACCUGGGAACUGCAUUGGUGACUGGCAGGCUAGAGUAUGGCAGAGGGGGGUAGAAUUCCACGUGUAGCAGUGAAAUGCGUAGAGAUGUGGAGGAAUACCGAUGGCGAAGGCAGCCCCCCUGGGGCCAAUACUGACGCUCAUGCACGAAAAGCGUGGGGGAGCAAAACAGGAUUAGAUACCCCUGGGUAGUCCACGCCCCUAAACGAUGUCAACUAGUUGUUGGGGAUUCAUUUCCUUAGUAACGUAGCUAACGCGUGAAGUUGACCGCCUGGGGAGUACGGUCGCAAGAUUAAAACUUAAAGGAAUUGAC